GAUGAACGCUGGCGGCGUGCCUAAUACAUGCAAGUCGAGCGAACGGACGAGAAGCUUGCUUUUCUGAUGUUAGCGGCGGACGGGUGAGUAACACGUGGAUAACCUACCUAUAAGACUGGGAUAACUUCGGGAAACCGGAGCUAAUACCGGAUAAUAUUUUGAACCGCAUGGUUCAAAAGUGAAAGACGGUCUUGCUGUCACUUAUAGAUGGAUCCGCGCUGCAUUAGCUAGUUGGUAAGGUAACGGCUUACCAAGGCAACGAUGCAUAGCCGACCUGAGAGGGUGAUCGGCCACACUGGAACUGAGACACGGUCCAGACUCCUACGGGAGGCAGCAGUAGGGAAUCUUCCGCAAUGGGCGAAAGCCUGACGGAGCAACGCCGCGUGAGUGAUUAAGGUCUUCGGAUCGUAAAACUCUGUUAUUAGGGAAGAACAUAUGUGUAAGUAACUGUGCACAUCUUGACGGUACCUAAUCAGAAAGCCACGGCUAACUACGUG
This 497-nucleotide ribosomal RNA is filed under the name uncultured bacterium. Its description in RNAcentral is "partial 16S ribosomal RNA". It matches the Rfam family "Bacterial small subunit ribosomal RNA", at positions 28 to 507 of the family's 1533-position model. The record is from RNAcentral.